This 782-nucleotide ribosomal RNA is filed under the name bacterium. Its description in RNAcentral is "bacterial SSU rRNA". It matches the Rfam family "Bacterial small subunit ribosomal RNA", at positions 1 to 806 of the family's 1533-position model. The record is from RNAcentral.
UUGACGGAGAGUUUGAUCCUGGCUCAGGACGAACGCUGGCGGCGGGCCUAACACAUGCAAGUCGAACGAGAUGCCUUCGGGCAUCUAGUGGCGAACGGGUGAGUAACACGUGAGGAACCUGCCCCGAAGACGGGGAUAACCGUGGGAAACUGCGGCUAAUACCCGAUGUCCCCGAUGCGGCGCAUGCCGCGACGAGGAAAUGCUCCGGUGCUUCGGGAGGGCCUCGCGGCCUAUCAGCUAGUUGGUGAGGUAACGGCUCACCAAGGCUUCGACGGGUAGCUGGUCUGAGAGGACGAUCAGCCACACUGGGACUGAGACACGGCCCAGACUCCUGCGGGAGGCAGCAGUGGGGAAUCUUGCGCAAUGGGCGAAAGCCUGACGCAGCCACGCCGCGUGGGGGACGAAGGCCCUCGGGUUGUAAACCCCUUUCAGCAGGGACGAAAAUGACGGUACCUGCAGAAGAAGCUCCGGCCAACUACGUGCCAGCAGCCGCGGUAACACGUAGGGAGCGAGCGUUGUCCGGAUUUAUUGGGCGUAAAGGGCUCGUAGGCGGUUUGGUAAGUCGGGUGUGAAAGCUCAGGGCUCAACUCUGAGAAGCCAUCUGAUACUGCCAUGACUAGAGUUCGGUAGAGGAGCGUGGAAUUUCCGGUGUAGCGGUGAAAUGCUCAGAUAUCGGGAGGAACACCAGCAGCGAAGGCGGCGCUCUGGGCCGAAACUGACGCUGAGGAGCGAAAGCGUGGGGAGCAAACAGGAUUAGAUACCCUGGUAGUCCACGCCGUAAA